UUCAUUCUCUCUUUUCGGCCGCAAGAAGAAGAAAAAGAAGAGGACGAAGAGAUAAGAGCAGUAGAUGGUGGUGAAGCAAAAGAUAUUGGUGCACAGAUCGCACCUAUCGUUAAACUUGAAGAAGUUUACAACUGAAAAGAGAAACUAUACCGAUUUGAUAAAGAUGAAAAUCAAUAGAAAGAGGAGUUGAAACUUUGAAGAUUCUUAAACAUAAACAGACUGAGAAAGUUGGAUUGGUUAUGAGACAAUCUAAGCCAUUCAAGAUCUGUGCUAAUCAUCUAGAUUUUUCGCAAUAGGGUUAUCAUUCAAGUUCAGAAGAAGAAGGAAAGGAUUGUGUGAAAUCUGAACCCUAAAUUCCCAAUUUUAGGGUUCUUUUUUUGUAUGAAGCUCCAAAUGAUUAGAUCUUGAUAUCUUCAUCUGAUGGUGUUUAACAGAGAUUUUGGUUUUGGAACGGAUGUGAAGCUUCCACUAGUAAUGGAGGGAUCGAUUAUGAUCAAAUUACUGCCGAAGUGGAACAAAGGCUAUGAGGAGUUCGCAAAAUUUAGCAUUUGGGUCGGGGUAUCUUCCACUAAAGUUGUUUUUUGAUUACAUACUUACAUUUUGCGGGAGAUUUAAGCAGACAGUUUAGAUAGACUAGUCCUUGGUGUUAUAACUUUAUUGUUGACAAUGCAUGGUGUCUUUGAUGUUGUGUUCUUUUACUGCCUCAGAUGCAUUAACCAUGGAAUUGUUGUUGCUAGGAUGGAUGCUAAACCUUAAGUUGAUUAAAUUACUUUCUUAUGUUUGGGUGAAUCCAGAUCCUGGUUUGAAAACCAGGGAAUGCAGGUGAUGCUCCAGAGUGCGAUAAGUUCGCUAAGUAGUACUGCGAUUUUGCCCCGGAGAAUGGGUAUGUACUGCUAAGAUUUUAUAAUCUCAUUUUUCUUCUCCUUCUUUUGAGCUGAUGGGAUUUUGGGGAUUGUUGAAGAAGGAUUCCAGGCAUAGAUGAAUGUUAUGACAUGGAUGCAGCUGUAAUUUAUUGGUGGUGGUUUUGAGCUUACCUAAAUCAUAAAUUGUGUGAAUGUUUUGCUUCUUAUAGCCUGCAGCAUAAUUCAAUGAAGGAUAAAUAUCAUAAAUCCGUAUGGUCAGGAACUUACCUAGGCUAUAAGUAGGUGUUCUUAUGUAUGUAGGCUGAACUGAAUCAUUAUGAAGUUUAGGUAUACUAAAUUAAGAUCACUUGUUUGGCCUUUAUAAAUUACUAAUUGCAGUAAUAAAAUGAUUUUUCUGGCACUUUGAUGUGUAUGUCUGUUUGAAAUUAUAACAUUACUAGGUAUCGUGCAAUGCGGUGAUGCCAUCCUCUAUUUUGUCGAGUCACCUGCACUUGCGUCCCCUGGGGUUGGCAGGGUAGGAAAAUACAAUCUUCCACUUUGUUUGUUUUUUCCCUUCCCUUGAACUUUGUCUGGCUGGUCUUUUUAUCUCUUAUUUCGUUAUAGUUUCUGAAGGUACUCUUUAUCAUGGUUUGCAUUUUACUAAAGAUUUCACUACUGUGAAGGGAUAUAGUUAUGUUGAUUGAUUGGGUUGAUAACCAACUCUAGCAGGUAGGUGACUUUUUGGUCUGUAGAGGUGUAUCUAUGCAGCUUAGGCAAAUAAAGCCUGCACUUUCUUCAUUGCAUUCUGUAUAAUUUAAAGAUGGUCUAAAAUCCUUAUUGUUGUCUGAAGGAUUGAUUAUAAUAAAAUUACUGCCGAAGUGGAACAAAGGCUAUGAGGAUUUUGCACUAUAUGGCCCUGUGCGUCAAGGUAUCUCCAACAAUCCAUGUGAAAUAUGAAGAUGUUAUUUGUCUCUUGUUCUAAAGGGAUACUGCUCUUUGUAAACCAAUGAAUUCAUCUACAACUUGAACUCGCUGCGUCUUUUUUUGAUGUUACUGUCAGUUCAGAAUUGAUUCGAACCUUGAAGGGAAUGGAGGUUUUUGCAACCAUUUCAUCUUCUUCAACUAACAAAGAAACUACUUCUGUUGGAGUCACCCUUCAGCUCGUAUCACCUCCGGCACCUCAGAUAGGGAUGCUAUUGAAGCUGCUUCAAGUUUUGAAAAUAGGAACCAUCUCCCAGAACGUUUACUAGAUCAGAUGCUUUCCCAUCUGUGUUUGAAGUUCAGAACUGACUCCAAAGGGUUGCAUCAGCAAGAGUCUCGUGAAUCCCUCCCUAAAUCCAUCCAUUCGAGCAUUUCACAUUUUCUCUUCUAUAAUCUCGUUAAUAAGGCGUACUUGUUCCGCAGGACCUUCUUUCCAGUUAGCUCUAACUGAAGGCUAAUGUCACCACAAACGAAACAACCUCAGAAACACAAUCCAGAAAUCUUCGUGAAUGAAGAGAUGGGAUGGAAGAACUUCAAUUUGAUUGGAGCAGCAUAGGCAGGUACUUCAUGUAUUUGUAUUUCAGCUACUUUUUUUUGCCUCAGAGACAUUUACCAAUGUAGAGUUCAUCUUCCUUCAAAACAUUUUAUAAGAUUCUCUCUUUUUUUUGAAAGCAUUGUAAGAUUCUCAUGAUGUGAUGUU
Molecule: long non-coding RNA, 2523 nt
Organism: Papaver somniferum (opium poppy)
Lineage: Eukaryota; Viridiplantae; Streptophyta; Magnoliopsida; Ranunculales; Papaveraceae
Exons: 8
Source: RefSeq, a predicted model, not a curated record